Molecule: ribosomal RNA, 407 nt
Filed under: uncultured bacterium
Lineage: Bacteria
Description: partial 16S ribosomal RNA
Rfam family: Bacterial small subunit ribosomal RNA
Source: RNAcentral
GACGAACGCUGGCGGCGUGCCUAAUACAUGCAAGUAGGACGCAGUUGCGAACGGGUGAGUAACGCGUAGGUAAUUGCCUAUUAGAGGGGGAUAACUAUUGGAAACGAUAGCUAAUACCGCAUACUCGUAGAUGGACCUGCGUUGUAUUAGGUAGUAGGUAGGGUAAUGGCCUACCUAGGCGACGAUACAUAGCCGACCUGGGAGGGUGAUCGGCCAAACUGGGACUGGGGAACGGGCCAGACGCCUACGGGAGGCAGCAGUAGGGAAUCUUCGGCAAUGGGGGGAAACCUGACCGAGCAACGGCGCGGGAGUGAAGAAGGGUUUCGGAUCGGAAAGCUCUGUUGGUAAGGAAGCGGUACUUAACCAGAAAGGGACGGCUAACUACGUGCCAGCCGCCGCGGUAAUUC